Molecule: long non-coding RNA, 1874 nt
Organism: Anolis carolinensis (green anole)
Lineage: Eukaryota; Metazoa; Chordata; Lepidosauria; Squamata; Anolidae
Exons: 2
Source: RefSeq, a predicted model, not a curated record
CUACUCACAUUUGCAUGUUUUCGAACUGCUAGGUUGGCAGUACCUAUUGAACUACUCACAUUUGCAUGUUUUCAAACUGCUAGGUUGGCAGUACCUAUUGAUCUACUUACAUUUUUAUGUUUUCAAACUGCCAGGUUGGCAGGAGCUGGGGCUAACAGCUGGAGCUCACCCGACACCCCGGAAUCGAACCACUGACUUUUUGGUCAGCAAGUUCAGCAGCUCAGCUGUUUCUGAUGACCAAGUGAAAGCUCCGUUAGUGCAAAAUCCACAGAUUCCAUUGCCAGGAUAUGUAUUUCUUGUGGAUAAGAAGAGGCAUCUAAGAUUUCAACCCAAACGGUUCAGCACAUUUCCCUGGUUUGCCUACUCAUUUCAUGUACAAGAUGUGCUCUUGGAAAACGUCUUGAUGUAACCCAUUGUCAUGAGAAAGGAAAUAAAAAGAAAGCAGAAGAAAGAAACGUCUGCCAAUUGUGGAAACUAUUGUCCUUUGUGGCCAACAAGAACUGACUUUAAGAGGGAGCAAUGAAGUGACCACACGAGUGAGAGACCAUCACAGCACAACAGUUUCAACAUCUGUAUUUUAUUGUUGUUGUUUGUUUGGCACAGAUACGUUAGGAAAGGAAUCAAGCAAACAUUUCAAAAUAAUCUAAAGAGCCACACUUCUUCACUUUCUCCCAAACGAUCGCAUGGCACAAGACUAUUUAAUCAGAAUUAAGUCUCACUGGGGCCCCAUCUACUCAUACAAUAUAGUUGAACUACAUUGAACUGUAUUAUAUGAAUACUAGCUGUGCCCGGCCACGCGUUGCUGUGGCUAGGACUUAAUUUUUCUUUUCUUUUUGUUGUAUGAAUGUAGAGGCGUGGAUGAGAGGUUGUGCUGUCAAUUUUCAAGGUUGUAGAGCAUUUAGUUUAGUUGUUUUGUCCGGUGCCGUGAUUCCAGUACCCUUUUAUAGAUAAUAGAUACACUGACCAUAUAAUGCCGUUUCAAAUGCACCAUAUGGUCAGUAUGGAUGGGGCCUGAGUGGUGUUUAAGGUAAAUGCCCUUAAGUCUGCAGAUUUAUGCCCAGAUCUCCAAUUCUAGUUCUGUUUGCUAGACGAUUUCAUGAUCUGGAUGGAGAAAGCUAUCCCAGUGUUAUGUAGAGGGAAGACAACAUUUCAUCAGUAGUCCUGGUUCUUACCGGCAUAUUUGUUUAUGUUUUAAAUCUGUGCUUGGCUUAAAAGGCAAAUGGAAAGAAAUGUGAAUGAUGGCGUUUAUAGUUUCUAACAAUCCAUCAAUAAUAUAACAUAUGGCAACAGUAGAUCAUCCAACUUCAAAUGGACAUUCGUUUAAUAAAGGCAAGCUAUUUCAAGUCUUUGGCAGCCCAAACAAAACACUUUCCCAAAAACGUCAAACCAAACCAACUAAGGCAACUCCUAAAAGGCCAACGUAAUGCAAUACACCUCCAAUCUCCAAGGCUGUUGAAGAACACGAGGAAGCAGGUCUUAUUGGAACUAUGGGAUGGAUCUAAAUCAUCUUCCAAUGUUCUCACUCAGAUAUCCAUUUACUAAUUGAAUUGCAAGCUGAUGGGGAUGUGAUUCACCUCAACUCAAAAGAAAGUACCAUUGAGUUCAGUGUUUAGACUCAGAUAACUGAGGACAGGAUGGUAAGCUGAACAAAAUGCAUUUUAUUUAUGAUAUGUAUUUAUACCCCGCUUCUCUUGGCCAAGGGAGAUCUUAGUCUUUUGUUGUUGUUAUUAUUAUUCCACAGUUCCAGUUUUUAACCCCUGAACUGGAACAUGUUAGAAUGGCUUUUCCAAGGGUUUAGAAGCUUAUCCUCAUUGCUGAGGAUAAGCAAAGAAAGACAGUAGGAUCUGUAUUGACAGAACUCUAGAUUCAGGGGG